RNAcentral lists this long non-coding RNA (1002 nucleotides) under Homo sapiens (human). RNAcentral's name for it is "PREDICTED lncRNA (TCONS_00010324)". The record is from RNAcentral. Lineage: Eukaryota; Metazoa; Chordata; Mammalia; Primates; Hominidae.
GAAACUCUGUGCUCCUCCCCACCUGCCUUGCCCUAUGCAUCUCCUCAUCUGGCUGCUCAUCUGCAUCCUUUAUUAAUACAACAAACCAGUAAAUGGUCUCUGUCGCCCAGGCUGGAGUGCAGUGGUGCAACCAUGGCUCACACAGCCUCAACCUCCUGAGCUCAGGUGAUUCUCCCAACUCAGCCUCCAGAGCAGCUGGGACUACAGGUAAAGCACCUCAUCUGAGAAACAGUGAAGUCAGGUCCUCUAUGGGGAAAUGACACAUGCUCUCAGGCUGACCCUCUGAGACCUGGUUAAGAAGUGCCAGACCUCAAGGAGACAGGACAGGCUCUGAUGCAGAGAAGCUUGUCCCCAGUGCUCCAUCCACGAAGGGAGCAAGUUGCUCCCCAUUCAUGACUCAAAACACCCUGGAGGAAGAUUAUGUUUACUGGUUCUAUAGUAAACUUCCACCUUGUGAAAUGACUUCGGAUGUUUGUUAAUACUGAGUGGAGGAAGAAGAGAAUCACCACAUAUCGUAUUUAGAGGUCCUGCAGAAAGGGCAGAGCGAGUUUCAUGUUUGAGUGCAGCGGAUGCAUGGGCAAAGCAUUACACAGCCGCUCCAUGGAAGUGACAAUGAGCCUUGUCUUUCACACGUAACUCCAGGAACCAGGGGAAACAAAACCAAUUCCACCCAGAGGUAAAUAAAAAUCAAAGAGCGUUCGAGGCAGCCGCAUUGACUCACCUUGCAGACAAGCAAGCAGAGCCGCAGAGCAGUGACCCGUGCCCAGCGCCUCGCAGCUAGAGCUGGAUUGGAAUCCAGGGCUUUGCAGGCUUCCUGCUUCACUCAAUCCUCUUUCUGUUGCCUCUGGCCUCAAGGUGUUGGCCUGGGAGGAAGUAGCAGAUUAAAUUCCAUGGGCACGAAGUCCGUAGCUGACGAAUACUUAAUAUGUUGCAGUUUCACAGUGAAAGUUGGCAAGUCCAGGGUGGGAACAUGCCCCAAGCAGCUGAGUCUUCUGGAUUUUA